GCCCAAAUNUUUUUGCUUUUUUUGCCCCAUCAUUUCCAAAUUCCAAGACAGAGAGGGCCAAAAGAAAUNUAAUUUCUCCCCCCCUNUUGGUCUUGUAAAUGGAAUGAUGGGAAUCUAAACCCCUUCCAGAGUAUCAAUUGGAGGGCAAGUCUGGUGCCAGCAGCCGCGGUAAUUCCAGCUCCAAUAGCGUAUAUUAAACUUGUUGCAGUUAAAAAGCUCGUAGUUGAAUUUCUGCUGUUUCGUUGACUGCGUUUGGCGUUUGUCAUCGUUGCGGCUUGGUUGGGUUUCGAUUAUUCGUUUCCCGGCGUUUACUUUGAGAAAAUUAGAGUGCUUGAAGCAGGCUUUUGCCUUGAAUACUUUAGCAUGGAAUAACGGAGUAGGACUUUGGUUCUAUUUUGUUGGUUUUAGGAGCCAGAGUAAUGGUUAAUAGGAACAGUUGGGGGCAUUCGUAUUUGACUGUCAGAGGUGAAAUUCUUAGAUUUGUCAAAGACGAACUACUGCGAAAGCAUUUGCCAAGGAUGUUUUCAUUAAUCAAGAACGAAAGUUUGGGUUUCGAAUACGAUCAGACAUCGUGGUAGUCAGAAAUCAAGUGUCUAGGAGAGAAACCC
Molecule: ribosomal RNA, 608 nt
Filed under: Theileria equi
Lineage: Eukaryota; Apicomplexa; Aconoidasida; Piroplasmida; Theileriidae
Description: SSU rRNA
Rfam family: Eukaryotic small subunit ribosomal RNA
Source: RNAcentral